UCCCGUUUCUGUUCUGUUGGUUUUUGGAAAACGAGAUAAUGAUCGAGAGGGACAGACGGGGGCAUUCGUAUUGCGGCGCUAGAGGUGAAAUUCUUGGACCGUCGCAAGACGAACUACUGCGAAAGCAUUUGCCAAGAAUGUUUUCAUUGAUCAAGAACGAAAGUCAGAGGUUCGAAGGCGAUCAGAUACCGCCCUAGUUCUGACCAUAAACGAUGCCAACCAGCAAUCCGCCUGAGUUACUCAAAUGACUCGGCGGGCAGCUUCCGGGAAACCAAAGUAUUUGGGUUCCGGGGGAAGUAUGGUUGCAAAGCUGAAACUUAAAGGAAUUGACGGAAGGGCACCACCAGGAGUGGAGCCUGCGGCUUAAUUUGACUCAACACGGGAAAACUUACCCGGCCCGGACACNGGAAGGAUUGACAGAUUGAGAGCUCUUUCUUGAUUCGGUGGAUGGUGGUGCAUGGCCGUUCUUAGUUGGNGGAGCGAUUUGUCUGGNUAAUUCCGAUAACGAACGAGACUCCAGCCUA
RNAcentral lists this ribosomal RNA (524 nucleotides) under Ornithodoros tholozani. Its description in RNAcentral is "SSU rRNA". It matches the Rfam family "Eukaryotic small subunit ribosomal RNA", at positions 828 to 1350 of the family's 1831-position model. The record is from RNAcentral. Lineage: Eukaryota; Metazoa; Arthropoda; Arachnida; Ixodida; Argasidae.